UGAAUACGAGAUGCUACGGCGUCGAAGCAGUCUAUGUCAUACUUCCAAGAAAAGCUUGCACUGUCAUAAACAAAUAAUGCCUGUACCAUAACCGACACAGGUGGGUAGGUAGAGUAUACUAAGGGGCGCGAGAUAACUCUCUCUAAGGAACUCGGCAAAAUAACUCCGUAACUUCGGGAGAAGGAGUGCCUUAUUUAUAAGGUUGCAAUGACAAGAUCCAAGCAACUGUUUACCAAAAACACAGGUCUCCGCGAAGUCGUAAGACGAUGUAUGGGGGCUGACGCCUGCCCAGUGCCAGAAGGUUAAAGAAGUUGGUUAGCAUUCGCGAAGCUGAUAACUGAAGCCCUGGUGAACGGCGGCCGUAACAAUAACGGUCCUAAGGUAGCGAAAUUCCUUGUCGGGUAAGUUCCGACCCGCACGAAAGGCGUAAUGAUUUGGAUACUAUCUCGGAGAGGGGCUCGGUGAAAUAGACUUGUCUGUGAAGAUGCGGACUACCUGCACCUGGACAGAAAGACCCUAUCAAGCUUUACUGUAACUUGAAAUUGAAAUUGGACUUUAUUUGCGCAGUAUAGGUGGGAGGCAUUGAAAAUAUUCUUGCGGGAUUAUUGGAGCCAUCAGUGAGAUACCACUCUUGUAAUGUUAGAUUUCUAACUUUGUAUCAUUAUCUGGUCAAAGAACAGUUUCAGGCGGGCAGUUUGACUGGGGCGGUCGCCUCCCAAACGGUAACGGAGGCGCACAAAGGUUUCCUCUGAACGGGUAGAAAUCGUAUCUAGAGUGUAAAGGCAUAAGGAAGCUUGACUGUGAGACCUACAAGUCGAGCAGGGACGAAAGUCGGUCUUAGUGAUCUGACGGUGCUGAGUGGAAAGGCCGUCACUCAACGGAUAAAAGUUACUCUAAGGAUAACAGGCUGAUCUCCCCCAAGAGUUCACAUCGACGGGGAGGUUUGGCACCUCGAUGUCGGCUCAUCGCAUCCUGGGGCGGUAGUACGUCCCAAGGGUUGGGCUGUUCGCCCAUGAAAGCGGUACGCGAGCUGGGUUCAGAACGUCGUGAGACAGUUCGGUCCAUAUCCGGUGUAGGCGUUAGAAUAUUGAGAGGAGCCUUCUCUAGUACGAGAGGACCGAGAAGGACAUACCUCUGGUGUACCAGUUAUCGUGCCAACGGUAAACGCUGGGUAGCUAUGUAUGGAGAGGAUAACCGCUGAAAGCAUCUAAGUGGGAAGCCCACCUCAAGAUAAGUAUUCUCAUCACGUAAGUGAAUAAGGUCACGGUAAGACUAACCGUUCGAUAGGCAUUAAGUGUAAAUCUAGUAAUAGGUGAGCUGAGAUGUACUAACAGACCGAAGAC
This 1343-nucleotide ribosomal RNA is filed under the name metagenome. RNAcentral's name for it is "bacterial LSU rRNA". It matches the Rfam family "Bacterial large subunit ribosomal RNA", at positions 1564 to 2925 of the family's 2925-position model. The record is from RNAcentral.